AGGAAAAAGAUCUGAACGUAAUGAAAGAAUGGCUCUAGCUGAUGAACCCGAAUAUGCAGAUGAAGGUUUAAAGGACAAUAUACUUUACGAAACUGCGGGGAGCCAUUUUUGUCAAGGAACCACGAAAGUUGGAUACGAAGUUAAUGAUAAGAAAAGACAUGGAACCGACAACUCUGCAUUUCAAGAAACAGCACUUUACAGUGUCGAUCAGAA
This is a long non-coding RNA of Mytilus trossulus (common blue mussel), 213 nucleotides long. RefSeq lists it as uncharacterized. NCBI's taxonomy places the organism in Eukaryota, Metazoa, Mollusca, Bivalvia, Mytilida, Mytilidae. The record is from RefSeq and is a predicted model, not a curated record. The transcript has 3 exons.